This is a long non-coding RNA of Vicia villosa (hairy vetch), 2306 nucleotides long. RefSeq lists it as uncharacterized. The transcript is spliced from 8 exons. The record is from RefSeq and is a predicted model, not a curated record. NCBI's taxonomy places the organism in Eukaryota, Viridiplantae, Streptophyta, Magnoliopsida, Fabales, Fabaceae.
CAGAACUGUUUCUUCUUCUCUCCUCACACGAAAAAACCCUAAACCCAAAGAAACUCUUUUCUUCUUCUCUCACGCACCUCCGUCCCUACCUCCGUCCUCAGCUGCCACUCCGUCCAUUGAUUUUUCUACCCCUCCGUCCAUUGAUUUCUCCGUUUAUUUCACUUAACAGGUCACUUCUUCUUUUGAAUUCCUUUGAUUUUCUUCUUUUCAUGUUUCAUGUUUGUUAUUGUUAUUGUUGUUAGCUGCGAUUUUUGUUCUCGAAAUCGAAAAAGAAAGAAGUUUUGAGAGGAGGAAGAAUAGAAUGUCAAAUAGAGAAAGAGAGGAUUUAGAGUUUUUGUCUCUGGAUUCUCGGUACUUUCUUCUCCGAUCAACAUCGAAUUUGCAUUGCCAUUCUUCUCCGAUUCUCACUUUCGUUUCACUCCUCUCAACUUUAACACACUUGAUGAUCGCUUCAGUGAAGUUCUCGAAGCGACUCAAAUCUAGGAAAAUCAAACAAAAAAAGAGAAAACAAUUGAAACAAAAAGAGGGAAGUAGCGCUUCAGGGAACGACAAUACGGUGACAAAGAGGGCAGGGAUGGUGAUUCAGUGUGAGAGGGCUUUGAUUUCGGUGAUGAACGGUGGAGAUGACAUCAGCGGCGGUGGAACCUUCUCGGACGGGGUUCUCGCGGUGGUUUUAGUUGAUGUGUCGGCGAAGGUAUAGGUCUGAUGCGUGUUGGUUUUUGAUUUCACGGGGCGUUUAGAUGGUGUCUUCACGGCAUGAACAAUGCCGCUGAAUGGUUAGGGAUUUUGGCGGAAAAACUCCGGCCGGUGGUUACGAUGUCCUUCAGAAUUCCUCGUCACAGCUAUCGUUCUAUACCGCCAUCAGAGAGAAUCCCAAAGUACGAAAGCCCUAAUUUGGACUCCAUUAUGGAUUCGUUUGAGAUGUAAGCUCGCUUGGUGAAGAAUAUAAUAUAUAAAUGAUGAGGAGAUUUCUAUCAAUGUGCUAUUUCAUUGGCAUGGUUACUAUGAACUAUUAGAGACCUUAUGACCAAAAAAAUUAAUACACAUUUAGUGCAGUACAUAUCUGUCACCUCUCGCGUAUAAUAGUAUCUGUCACCUACAGUAUGAGACAUGAAGAAUUCUGAAAUAUGAAUAUUAGAACAUUUUUCUGCUUCUUUUAGAACAGUUGUUUUAUGGUUGUGGAGCUAAGGACUGCACAAAAGCUUUUUCAUGCUGCUGAAUUUGUGUACAAACAUAUGAAGCUGAAACACGCAUCGCUUGCUGUUGAACAAACUUCAAAAAUGCGCAACGAUCUCUAUACUCAAAAUUACAUGAAAUCCAUAUGCUUCUGGUGGAAAGCCUGUUAUGCUGCAAUCUCAAGUGAACUACUAUACGCAUUGCUUGCCGUAAGUAUGAGAACAAUUUGUUGUUAGAAACUCACCCAUCUCAUAUGAUAGAGUCGAUGUUGGCCAGGGAUAACAUGAACUAACCAAUGUUUACAUUUCAGAUGCAAUUUUGUAUUACAUUUAUCAAACAUAUGAUUUGCAGGAUGUGGUAGAUGUUAUAUAAAAUAUAUCCAAGGAAAAUCAUCGUAAAACGAUUAGCAUACUUUCUAUGUCCGGUUGUGUAUCAAACAUUGUUGAUCUUACUCCGAACAAUCCCAAACACUGCAAGGGAAAAUUUGAGAUGCAUUUUAUGUCUACAAAAUGUCUCUCUGAUGAUGAUGGUCGUCAAUGUCGUGGAAAGGCAACGUGUAUCGUUACAUGCUGAGAUGAAAAGGAAAUUCUAUUAGUAAAUACUUCUGUCAUAGUGGCUGGCUAUGCUAAAAUUAACUGCAACCUUAUUCAACACAGACACCGAUAUUAACAGGUGCAAGAAUUUCAGCAUUUGCUGCUGUUGUGACUCGAAAUGAUGACAAAAGUCCCAUAGAAGCCAUCCUUCUUAAAGCCAAUUUUUAUCCAACUAAAGAAUACUCUACAAAAGGUUAUCAAAGAAGAACAAACAUUUACAUCUGGUUUUUUGCAACAGCUUAAUCAGUGGGAGAUGGGAACAUAGUAAAAUCCCACAUCAGCAACUAGUCUAGUGCUUCAAAUGCGCAGGACUUGAAGUCUCCUUCUGUAGUUGACAAUUGUUUGGUCAUGAAGUCUCCUUCUGCUGGGGACAUUUGAAAUUAAGUUUCUAAUCUUCUAUAAAACUGAAAAGUUCUUGUUUAAUUCUGGCGCCGAGAUUGUGUGUACACUCGGGAAAUGCUAUUCCAUAAACAUUAUUGUUUCCUCUUCUUUUCAGUUGAGUUUUUUAAGAAUGGAUGAUUAGAAAUUUAAUUGUCA